CAUCAAUAUUAAUGUCCUAAACUUUACCAAGAAUUAUUAAAAAUCCCUGCGUAUUGCUUACGUAAUGUUGAUAUUGAGUAGUACCAUACAUAACCUCAACAUUAUGAUACUUACAAACAUCGCUAAACAAGUAGUGCGAACGAUGUCGACAUUUCGCUUGGCGUUGGUACAACUUGAAGUAAAUGAAGUAAAACGCAAAAAUGUAGAGCGGGCAGUUUCCUACAUUUCUAGCGCAAAAGAGCACAAUGCUGAUAUUAUAGCUCUUCCUGAAUGCUUUAAUUCACCAUAUGGAAUACAGUACUUUCCAAAAUACGCCGAGAGUAUUCCUGAUGGUGAAACGAGCGUUGCUUCAUCGAACGCAGCUAAAGAAAACAACAUCUAUGUAGUUGGUGGUACGAUGCCUGAAAUAGAGGGCGAUAAAUUGUACAAUACCUGUACUAUUUGGGGUCCCGAUGGAACUUUGAUAGCAAAACACCGAUAGGUACAUCUAUUCGACAUCGACAUUCCUAAUAAGAUUACUUUUCGAGAGAGUGAUUCACUCAGUCCUGGUAACUCCCUAACGACGUUCGAUGUGAAGGGCUGCAAAAUAGGUAUUGGCAUUUGCUAUGAUAUUAGAUUCGAGGAAAUGGCACGCAUUUAUCGGAACAAAGGUUGCCAAAUGCUGAUAUAUCCAGCGGCAUUCAAUAUGACCACUGGACCACUGCACUGGUCAUUACUUCAGCGUUUCAGAGCGAAUGAUAAUCAAUUAUACGUUGCCUGCAUAUCACCGGCUCGUGUUCCUUAAACAAGUUACGUCGCAUGGGGACAUACACAGUUGACCAAUCCCUGGGGAAAGAUUCUUUACGAUUUGGAAACUCAAGAGAAUAUGGCAGUCACCGAUAUCAAAAAAAAAAAAAAGUCACCGAUAUCGGUAAUUUACAGCUUAAAAUUAAAAGCGAGAGAUCCAUGAUGUAAUUAAUUUUUAGUCUCGUUAAUUUAUCGAUUUAGCCAUCUUCCUCUGUAUUUGUUGAAUUUAUUAGUAAGCAUUACUUAUUACUUCGUAUGUUUCUUUUUUCUAUCAGAUCUAAAAGUUGUUGAGGAAGUAAGGGCUCAGAUACCUACAUUUUCUCAGAGACGUACAGAUUUGUACGACACUGUCUGUAAGAAGGAGUAACUCUACACUAAAACAGAAAAUGUUUUUUUUUAAUAUUUCUACUAUAAUAUCCUUUUUUUUGUGAAUUAUUACUAAUUUCUUAUCAUUUGUACUAAAUGAAUGACUCAAUUAAGAAAACCAAAGCGUUAUAAAUAAUAAUCUGUAUAUCUUGUGUAUCAACAUGUAAUUGGAUAUUAUAAUAAUAUAGGAAUGCUAUAAUAAUAUAGGAUAAUAAUAUAGGAGAAUAAUAAUAUAGAAAAAAAUA
Long non-coding RNA from Bombus huntii, 1397 nucleotides. RefSeq lists it as uncharacterized. The record is from RefSeq and is a predicted model, not a curated record. The transcript has 5 exons. NCBI's taxonomy places the organism in Eukaryota, Metazoa, Arthropoda, Insecta, Hymenoptera, Apidae.